GUUUUAAAGCCUGAGAAGGAGGGAAACAGAACCUUGGGAGAGGGUAAAAGUUUGGAGAGUAGCAUUUAAGGGAAGAAUUCUGUGAGCAAAUGUGGCUAAGCUCUUUAAGUCCCUCAGAAAGAUAGUUGGAGCCAAUUCAGCCAUCUUCCAAAACAAGGGAUUUGCAAGUCACUGAAAGAUGGGGAUUAUUUAUGUCCACACUUUCAUUCAGAAUCUGAGCUACAAUAAAUGGAUCUGGGAUUAAGUGAAAACCUUCCAUUAAAUAUGUUUUCAAAACAGGCGUGAAAGACAAUGAACAAAUCCCUGUGAGCUGCACAGGUGUCUUGGUCACAAGGGCAGUUAGUGUGUGAAUGCAUUGAGGUGGCUGGGCUCCGGGUUCGCUCCAGCCGCUCAGCCUCCACCCUGCCGGCACCCACCGAGGAAGUGGCUUCGCCGAGAGUGGAGGGCGAGCAAAGAAGAAACCCGAAAGCAGGUGUCCAGGUGAUGAAAUUGGCACAGACCACCAAGGGAUGGACCACCUGGGCUGCCUCCCCACCAUCCCCUCAUGUUGUAUCCAACCCUGACUUCAGUGACCCACCAAGGAAAGGAGAAAGCUGCCUACCCCAGUGACCAUGGGCUCUAGAUGCUCUCUCUGCCUGUGAACAGCAGUUACUGAUCAAAACCGAUGAACUGGCUGUUCUUGAGUCACUGGUUGUGUUUUC
This 701-nucleotide long non-coding RNA is filed under the name Aotus nancymaae (Ma's night monkey). RNAcentral's name for it is "lncRNA (ENSANAG00000038723.1)". Lineage: Eukaryota; Metazoa; Chordata; Mammalia; Primates; Aotidae. The record is from RNAcentral.